Molecule: ribosomal RNA, 330 nt
Filed under: uncultured bacterium
Lineage: Bacteria
Description: bacterial SSU rRNA
Rfam family: Bacterial small subunit ribosomal RNA
Source: RNAcentral
UUCGUAGGCGGUGUGGCAAGUCAGGAGUGAAAUCUCUGGGCUUAACUCAGAGGCUGCUUCUGAAACUGCUGUGCUUGAGUGUGGGAGAGGCGCGUGGAAUUGCAGGUGUAGCGGUGAAAUGCGUAGAUAUCUGCAGGAACACCCGUGGCGAAAGCGGCGCGCUGGACCACAACUGACGCUGAGGAACGAAAGCUAGGGGAGCAAACAGGAUUAGAUACCCUGGUAGUCCUAGCCCUAAACGAUCAGGACUUGGGGUGCCGCCCGCUCGGGCGUCGUCCCGGAGCUAACGCGUUAAGUCCUGCACCUGGGGAGUACGGUCGCAAGACUGAA